This 261-nucleotide ribosomal RNA is filed under the name Bacillus safensis. Its description in RNAcentral is "partial 16S ribosomal RNA". It matches the Rfam family "Bacterial small subunit ribosomal RNA", at positions 517 to 777 of the family's 1533-position model. Lineage: Bacteria; Bacillati; Bacillota; Bacilli; Caryophanales; Bacillaceae. The record is from RNAcentral.
GCGGUAAUACGUAGGUGGCAAGCGUUGUCCGGAAUUAUUGGGCGUAAAGGGCUCGCAGGCGGUUUCUUAAGUCUGAUGUGAAAGCCCCCGGCUCAACCGGGGAGGGUCAUUGGAAACUGGGAAACUUGAGUGCAGAAGAGGAGAGUGGAAUUCCACGUGUAGCGGUGAAAUGCGUAGAGAUGUGGAGGAACACCAGUGGCGAAGGCGACUCUCUGGUCUGUAACUGACGCUGAGGAGCGAAAGCGUGGGGAGCGAACAGGA